This 174-nucleotide ribosomal RNA is filed under the name Pithecopus palliatus (jaguar leaf frog). Its description in RNAcentral is "partial 16S ribosomal RNA". Lineage: Eukaryota; Metazoa; Chordata; Amphibia; Anura; Hylidae. The record is from RNAcentral.
ACGUGAUCUGAGUUCAGACCGGAGUAAUCCAGGUCAGUUUCUAUCUAUAAAGAGUCUUUUCUAGUACGAAAGGACCGAAAAGACAAGGCCCAUAUUUUAAACAAGCCUUACCUAUUAACCAAUGUAUAAAACUCAAUAUUAAAAUUAGCUAUUACAAAUUUCAAAAUAAGAAAA